GCUAUGGUUUUGCCACUGCACUCCAGCCUGGGAGACGAGCUAGACCCUGUCUCAAAACGUAAAAACUUAAAAUACACAGAGAAUCUCAAGGUGGCGUGGACAGUUCUGAGUGUUGGGGAGAGAACAAAAGAAGGAAAGUGCAUUUUGGGUGGCAGAAAGGCCCUCCCAGCACCGUGGGCCCCUGCUUUGAAGCAACCCUCACAGAAGCUGAGCAUGAGUUAUGCUGGGCCCAUGACACUAGUUCCCUGGGUGCACGCAGCCUGAGCCCAGCCCGCCCUGUCUGGAGCUCUCACCACCUGCCUGGCCCGUGCUCAUGGGCUCACGAUGGCUUCAGCUGGAGCUCGUGUCAGCUCGAGCACGGCCUCCCCAGAGGGCUCAUUUGCACUUGGAUGCCCUCACCUGUUCUCCCUCUGUGGCUUCAGGAACCCCGGGGUCAUUACAGAGCUGGCUAAAUUCAUCCCUGGAUGUGAGACCUGUGUUGUAGGCAUCCAGGACUGUCCCAAGAUGGGAGAGGCAUCCAGUCAUGUUAAUUGAAGUGAAGACUUCUAUUUACUUCCAGAUACACAUUCUUAACCUUCCUAGGGCCCCAUUUUGACCUUUCUUCCACAACGCAUUUUACCUACCACUAAUAGCCCCAGUGCAGACCCCAAAGUUCCCCUGUAGGAUUCAUUUCCAGUGAUUUGAGCCCAGCCUGAGGCAGAGCUUUCUGCUGAGUUGAUCCUUACUCAGACUCAAACUGCAGAGGGCCAGGAGGAGCCCUGUUUUUUGCAAUCAAUACCACCUGGGGUAGGACCCAAACGUGACAUCCUUUGUGUGUGGAUCUGGCCUUGGCCUCCGCACUGUCUGUUCAGCAGGUCCCUCCUUUGCCUGCCAAGGCUGAGGUCCUGUACUUUGCAAAGGUCCAGGCCGUUUGGUGCAGCUACAAUCAGCAUGCGUGGUUUUCUCUAUGAAAGCAACAGCGAUCUCGUGGGGAAGGCCCUGGCAGAAAGUGCAUCAUGCAGGACACGGCGCAGGCGCUCCAAAGACGCCUCCUGCUCACUUCUGGCCUCCACCCCAUGCCCUGCAGGAUGACAGGUGGCUGUGCCUAUACAUAAAACACCAGACGUGACCAAUGACUAUCUUAUAAUAAAUAUACUUGAACUUCUCAACUAGAACACAGAAAUGCUUUCGGGAAGUACAACGCGUACCACCAUGUGUGGUCCUGUGCGCAGCGGCGGGAGCCUCUGCCCCGGGAGCCAGCGUGGUGUGGGGGAGAGACCCCGAGUCUCCAGAACCCAACGGAACGUGGGUCUGCAGUGACGACGCAAAAACCGAAGACGAGCAAUAAAAUAAUAAUCCAAACAGGAAAGAGACAAUGUGAAGAAAGCUGCCUUUGUUCUAGGAAAAGUCUUUUUUUCCUUUUCACAGUAUAGUGACUCAUUUAUAAAGAGGAAGUGAGUUCGGUUGAAAAAUACUUGAAAUAUUCUCUUAGGGGGAGAAAGCAGUUCUUCACCAGCUUGGUGGGCCACUUGGCCGCGAGCUUCGAGCUCUGCCUGUUCUGAGUCAGCAGGGACAAUUCUUCUUCCGAAACCAGAACCCGCUGCCUGCUGCUGAGAGGAGGGAGGGAAGGCUGUGGGCAAGUGCAGCACCCACCAGGCGGGCCGGAGAUGGGGCUGGGAAGGAAUCGCUUCGAGGGGGUGAGGGGAACAGCCUGCCUCUCAGUUGUCCCAGGCGCCUAAGAUGCCCUGGAACCCCCACCCGAUUCUGGGAGUUUUUCUCACGGAGGUGUACUGAGCAGCAGGAGACCAGACAACUCCCCUACCUCCACCUCCCCCCGGCAGGGGGCUGGUCCCCUGGGAAGCAGGCUGGGGGUGACUCUGUGUGAACAGCGAGCUCCAGGGCCAUCGCUAGAGGAUGUCACCAUCCUGGGCAGCACCCCCGCAGAGGAAAGGACAGGACUCCAGGCAAAAGUUAGCCAAACCCUUGCAGAGUCAGCAACCACUCCCAGGGAAUUGUAUCACAAAGGCUGUCCCCUGGGCUCCUGGGGCUGCCUGUGCUGGAAGCCUGAGCCCUGAGCGCAGGAGGGCAGGUGGGGAGAGGAAAAGGUCCCCUGCCAGCCUACGGUGUGAGGAGCCCUUGGGGAAGAUGGGCUUUGCAGACUUGGCACCGACACCCCCUCUCGUACUCCCAGCCACCCCCCUGGAGGCCAGGAACAUUUCUCAGUUUCUUUCAGGGUGAAGGCUGCGAGUGAAGUGCCAGAUACAGUGUCCCCCUCCUCCUCGGGCACCCUCCCUAGGGCAGUGGGGACUGUCCUUAACCAUUCUGGGGGUGACGGUGGCCACCUCUGCAAAAUGAUUUCUCUUUCAGUGAGUGGGUGUCUCACGUCACUGUUGAGACACCCGAGACCCUCGGAGGGAAACCUGUGGGAAGGAGCUGCCAGCCUCCUUCUAGGAACCAGGUGACCCCAAGAUCACGGCUUAGGUGCAUCCAACCCUGGAAACCCUGUGAGGAGCUCUGUGGGGCCUCGCUCAGAAAGGGGGCCUGGGAAGAAGCAGCUGCCAGCCCAUGGCCCAAGCCUACAGGGGCCACAGGUGUGGCCACUGGAGUGGAGGGAGGUGCCUUUGGUGGAGGAGCCUUGCAACCCUGGGUCUGGCUGCACCUGCCACAUAAGAACCCUGCUGGGGUGCUGUUCUCUCACUGCUGCGUGGAUGCAUGGAGCCUCCGGGAACAGGCAGCAGGGGAGGCCAGGCCAGCAGGACCUGUGGGCGCCACGCCUUGGCAGGUGCCAAGCAACAGGAUCGUGCCAUGGCAGUGACAUGGGAGAAUGCAGGAACCUGAGAGGUGAGAGGGAAUAAGUUUCCAGAACUCACUCUCAGGCAGGAGACAUGACUCAGCUGAGCCAGAAAGCGCUCGUUCCACACGAAUGCACGUAUGAGCAAGGCAUGCCAGUACCAGAUUGUCCACGAACAUCCAGAAGAAGGGUCUGGGGCUGCCUGACCCGGGCCGCACGUACUGCAGGAGCCGGUGGAACUGGAACAGCAGCAAUGGAGCCCUGCCCAGUGCCGGGGCCACAGAGGUGCGAGGACCCCUCCUCCCCCAGGCAGGCCCAGAGUUGGGAAGAGACAGACAGGCAACCCCGAGGGAGGCACGGACGCAGAGCGCGUGCCGUGGCACAAAUACCGCCUUUUAGAGGAAGCUCCAGAGGAUACGUGAGCUGCAGUGACGUGGGCACGCUAGGGACUGCACGGGGUCAGCAGGAGGCUUGGGGGGCACAGGGAAGCCUAAGUGACGGGGACACUUUGUUGCUCAUGAUGAGGCGUGCAUGGGUGUGGAGCUAGCUCAGUGCCUCCUCCUUUAUUGAGGCACCACUGACACACAGUAAGUUGCACACAUUCAGUUGGACACACUGUGUGUCAGUGGAGCCUCAAUAAAGCUGCUUUUGAAAAAUGCUGACAAUUUGCAGUUUCUGCCCUGGCAUGGAGGGGUGGGGAAAGAGGAGAGGAGACGGGGUGGUGGGGACAGGGUGUCAGGACUGAAGCGUCACUCACUGGGAGGAUGGUCGCAGGUGUGGCCCAGGGGAGGUGUGGCGCCGUACAGGAGAUCAAAGGGCCCCCACUCCUCCACCUGCAGGACAGACAGGCAUGGGCACCGAGAGGCAGCAGCAGUGGGCAAGGUCGCGUACGGUAGCACGAGAUGUCCUCAGGGCCGACCCUGCUCAGCUCGCAGGGCUCACAGGCCAGGGCAAGCUGAGAUGUGGAGCCCACUAGGGCAGAGCCAUCCCCAGCCACCACCAGCCUCAGGGGCUGCCUGCCUGGAGCCCAGAGGAGAACGCUCCGAAUCUGAGGUGAAGACUCUGUGCCACGCGUUUGGGGACUGAACUCUGCCUUUAUCUUUUCUUGCUCAAAUUCCUUUCUAAGGAGCGUGGGGGGAAUCACAGCUUACAAACCACAAAAGCUUGUGGAAUGGGUGUUUUUGAGCCGGUGUAUUAUGGCUGUGCCAUGGCGUCACAUGACAGACAGCAGACCUUAUUUUAACUCAAGCAUUCCUUUCUACUGACUCCGAGUUUUCAGGCAAAGCUUAACUCUUUCAUCCAACUGCCAACUAAAGAAUCCCUAAUGUAAGCUUCAAGAUAGCCCGCCUUUUGGGGCUGAACCAAUGCACACCUAUGUAUUGAUUGAUUGAUUGAUUGAAUUUUUUGAGAUGGGGUCUCACUCUGUCACCCAGGCUGUAGUGCAAUGGUGAGAUCUCGGCUCACUGCAACCUCCACCUCCUGGGCUCAAAGUGCUGGGAUUACAGGCGUGAGCCACCGUGCCUGGCCCGUGUACUGAUUUCUGAUUCUACCUGCAGUUCCCAUCUCCCUGAAAUGUAUAAAACCAAAACUGUUACUGACCGCCUUGGGUGCACUUCCUCGGGACCUCUUAAGACUGUGUUUCCCAGGCCAUGGUCACUCUUACUGGCUCAGAAUAAACCUAUUUAAAUACUUUGGCAGAA
Macaca mulatta (Rhesus monkey) is the source of this 4470-nucleotide non-coding RNA. The record is from RefSeq and is a predicted model, not a curated record. NCBI's taxonomy places the organism in Eukaryota, Metazoa, Chordata, Mammalia, Primates, Cercopithecidae.